CGUGUGGUGUCCGGCAUAGAAUCGGAUAGCGACACGGCCUAAUUUGAGGU
Molecule: regulatory RNA element, 50 nt
Organism: Ferrimonas balearica DSM 9799
Lineage: Bacteria; Pseudomonadati; Pseudomonadota; Gammaproteobacteria; Alteromonadales; Ferrimonadaceae
Rfam family: L31-Gammaproteobacteria ribosomal protein leader
Source: Rfam